GGGGGGAACAAGCGUUGUUCGGAAUUACUGGGUUUAAAGCGCGUGCAGGCGGAAAGGCAAGUCCGGAUGUGAAAUCCCCCGGCUCAACCGGGGAAGUGCACUGGAAACUGCUUUUCUAGAGUGCGGGAGAGGAAAGUGGAAUUCACGGUGUAGCGGUGAAAUGCGUAGAUAUCGUGAGGAACACCGGUGGCGAAGGCGGCUUUCUGGUCCGCAACUGACGCUCAUACGCGAAGGCUAGGGGAGCAAACAGGAUUCGAUACCCUGGUAGUCCUAGCGGUAAACGUUGUGCACUAGGUGUGGGGCUCCGACGAGGGGCUCCGUGCCGCAGCGAAAGCAUUAAGUGCACCACCUGGGGAGUACGGCCGCAAGGCUG
RNAcentral lists this ribosomal RNA (373 nucleotides) under uncultured bacterium. RNAcentral's name for it is "bacterial SSU rRNA". It matches the Rfam family "Bacterial small subunit ribosomal RNA", at positions 527 to 896 of the family's 1533-position model. The record is from RNAcentral.